RNAcentral lists this long non-coding RNA (280 nucleotides) under Ananas comosus (pineapple). RNAcentral describes it as "long non-coding RNA (ACOM_LNC013392)". The record is from RNAcentral. Lineage: Eukaryota; Viridiplantae; Streptophyta; Magnoliopsida; Poales; Bromeliaceae.
UUUUUAAUUUUAAAUUUCAAAUUCAAAAUUUUAAAUUUUAAAUUUUCAAAUUUAAAAUUUUAUUUUACUUUUUGUCACGCCCCGGAUUAUCACGUUUCCCCGGGCACACAUAGAAAUAUUUCAUGUAUACGAAGCAAUAGCUGUAAUAUACCGAAACUUCGGUAAAGAAUAUCGAACUUUAGUCAAAUUGACCAAAGUGCGAAGUCGAUAGCUUCGGAACGUUUCGGAAAGUCUGAAAUGCAUAAAAGUGAGUUAUAUAGGGUAUAAGGACCUUUGAGAG